GAAAGGACUGCUAAUACCGAAUGUUGUAUCUCCUCCGCAUGGAAGAGAUAUUAAAGAUGGCCUCUACUUGUAAGCUAUCGCUUUGCGAUGGGUCUGCGUCUGAUUAGCUAGUUGGUGGGGCAACGGCCUACCAAGGCGACGAUCAGUAGCCGGUCUGAGAGGAUGAACGGCCACAUUGGAACUGAGACACGGUCCAGACUCCUACGGGAGGCAGCAGUGGGGAAUCUUCCGCAAUGGGCGAAAGCCUGACGGAGCAACGCCGCGUGAGUGAAGAAGGUCUUCGGAUCGUAAAGCUCUGUUGUCGGGGACGAAUGUUGAGAUUUAGAAUAUAGAUUUCAAAUGACGGUACCUGACGAGGAAGCCACGGCUAACUACGUG
RNAcentral lists this ribosomal RNA (378 nucleotides) under uncultured bacterium. RNAcentral describes it as "bacterial SSU rRNA". It matches the Rfam family "Bacterial small subunit ribosomal RNA", at positions 153 to 507 of the family's 1533-position model. The record is from RNAcentral.